CUCUUUCCUCUUUAAUUCUUACCAGCACCUCAACUCUCCGGCGCUCCUGGUUGGUGUAAUUCUUCUCCCGCAGGAUGGCUGAGCUGUAACUCUCAUG
Molecule: long non-coding RNA, 97 nt
Organism: Nanorana parkeri
Lineage: Eukaryota; Metazoa; Chordata; Amphibia; Anura; Dicroglossidae
Exons: 3
Source: RefSeq, a predicted model, not a curated record